UACGGAGGGGGCUAGCGUUGUUCGGAAUUACUGGGCGUAAAGCGCACGUAGGCGGCUUUGUAAGUUAGAGGUGAAAGCCCGGGGCUCAACUCCGGAAUUGCCUUUAAGACUGCAUCGCUCGAAUUGUGGAGAGGUGAGUGGAAUUCCGAGUGUAGAGGUGAAAUUCGUAGAUAUUCGGAAGAACACCAGUGGCGAAGGCGACUCACUGGACACGUAUUGACGCUGAGGUGCGAAAGCGUGGGGAGCAAACAGG
Molecule: ribosomal RNA, 253 nt
Filed under: uncultured bacterium
Lineage: Bacteria
Description: partial 16S ribosomal RNA
Rfam family: Bacterial small subunit ribosomal RNA
Source: RNAcentral